UGGGGAAUAUUGGGCAAUGGGCGCAAGCCUAACCCAGCAACGCCGCGUGAAGGAAGAAGGCUUUCGGGUUGUAAACUUCUUUUGUCAGGGACGAAGCAAGUGACGGUACCUGACGAAUAAGCCACGGCUAACUACGUGCC
RNAcentral lists this ribosomal RNA (140 nucleotides) under uncultured bacterium. RNAcentral's name for it is "partial 16S ribosomal RNA". It matches the Rfam family "Bacterial small subunit ribosomal RNA", at positions 355 to 509 of the family's 1533-position model. The record is from RNAcentral.